Long non-coding RNA from Nicotiana tabacum (common tobacco), 731 nucleotides. RefSeq lists it as uncharacterized. NCBI's taxonomy places the organism in Eukaryota, Viridiplantae, Streptophyta, Magnoliopsida, Solanales, Solanaceae. The record is from RefSeq and is a predicted model, not a curated record.
UCUUUUUGUCUUAAUUAAUUUCUAUACCUAAUAAAAUUAAAAAUAAUUAAUGGCUAUCGAAAGGCCAUCCCUCUCAAAAGGGACUUCACCGAGAACGACGACUCUGUAACAACCAUCGAAAGGCAGCCAUCAACCGCCGACUCUGCCACCAUCCCGCCGUCAACGUCCACAGUAGAACCUCCGACUAUGUAACAGCUAUGGCCGUCAACAACCACCUCCUUCUACGGCCGUCAACAACAACCACCAUCCCGUUGUCAACAAAAUUGUUCCAGCUCUUUGAGUAGUUCCAAGAUUUGAUUUUCUUUUUUCUUCACCCAUAAACUUUAUCUCCUCCACCUGAAAUAACCACCUUCUUCUAUUAAUCCAAGCUCCACAUUUUCAAAUAGCCCUAAAAUUGUAGGGUUUUUUCUCCACUAAGCUCGACCACCUCCUUUUGCAAUUUCUUAAUAGUUGAGCCAUAAUUUGCAGAUUCCAUUAGUGAGGAAGAAAUUGCAACUGAUAGCUGUGGGAUAAAUCACGGUGGAGUAGAUCAAGAAAUGGAUGAUGAAGAAGAACUAGACCUUACUUGAGAUAGAAGUUUGAAUUGUUAUAGAUGAAUGUUCUAGGAAUCUUUUGUUAUCAACAUUUUUGAAACUUACUUACUCUCUUGAAAUGUACUAAACUUAUGCACUUGGGGUACAACAUUUGCUUUAUGGAUAUUAUUUGCUUGAAUGAUAAUUUUACAUUAUUAA